UCCAUGAAGCGUAGCAACGAAACCACUGAAUAUUGCCGAGCUUGGGAAGAACCCACCGUCAAACUCCAGAACCCGAACGCUUUUCACAGGUUAUAACGGUAGAAAAAUUCCCUAUUGAGGGAAACGAUCCAUUUUGAUAAACCCAUCCUCUUCGACCGAAAUAAAGCCAAUACUGAAACUGUAGUUAUUGCUGGGGAAAGCAAAAGGCUCUGGUGAGGGAGAAUAUACAUAAAUGGUUGUUUCCAGCCGGAGGAGAGGAUGAAUGUGUUGGCGACGCUAAGAUUCGUGGUGGUUCCCGUCGCCAGGCAAAGUCUGCGUCCUCAACCUUCUUAUUCCACCUUUGAACAUCUACCAGUCCGGGCGGAGGCGAAGGGACGACGGUGGACGGAGACGGCUAGCUCGGAGGUAGAAGGGUAUCUUGGACGGAGAUGGCGGUUGAGAAAUUACAAAAUUUGGAAGAACAAUAGUAUCUUGGUAAAUACUUCUCAUUCUGUUGCAUUUUGAUGAACAUCUUCCCCCUUCCGGUUCAGAACUUAAAAAGGCCUCAUUUUAUGUAUGCAUGAAAGGGCAAUUUAAACUAGCCCAAAGCAAAUGCAUGGGCGCUUCUGGUCUUCCGUAUCUCAGCCUCUCCGAUUUGACCGCCAUUUUUCAAAAUCCAGUUUCACACUUCUCCACCAUUUCUUUGAAAUAUCGCUUGCAAAAAGGGCACCGAGUGGAUCUCAAAGGACAAUUUGUCAGCCUUUGUAAGAAAGGAUACAUCAUAGAAGCAUUUGAUUUCUUUGUGCCUAAGAUAUGGGAAGAACCCAAUCUGUUCUCUCAUCUACUCCAAGCAUGUAUAUUGAGAAAGUCCAUGCCAUUGGGGAAACAACUCCAUUCUCUGAUAAUUACAUCAGGGCUUUCCUCGGACAAGUUCAUUUCCAAUCAUCUCCUGAACCUCUACUCAAAGUUGGGAGGACUGAACACAGUUGUGACUAUGUUUGAUCGUAUGCCCAAGAGGAACACAAUGUCAUGUAACAUUAUGAUUAAAGCGUAUCUUCAAAAUGGUGACUUUGAGAGUGCUAAUAGGUUGUUUAGUGAAAUGUCUGAGAGAAAUGUUGCAACAUGGAAUGCCAUGGUCACAGGAUUGACCCAGUUUGAAAUGAAUGAGGAGGCUAUAUUAUUGUUUUCAGAAAUGAACAACUUGGGUUUCAUGCCUGAUGAGUACUCCUUAGGUAGCGUACUUAGGGGUUGUGCGCAUUUGAGAGCUUUAUUAGCAGGAAUGCAAGUUCAUGCUUAUGUUAUGAAAUGUGGGUUUGAGUUUAAUUUGGUUGUAGGAAGCUCUUUAGCUCAUAUGUAUAUGAAAGCGGGAAGCAUGCAAGAAGGAGACAAAAUUAUCAAAUCCAUGCCAAUUCAUAAUGUAGUUGCUUGGAAUACACUUAUUGCUGGAAAAGCACAAAACGGGUAUGCUGAGGAAGUUCUGAAUCACUAUUGUAUGAUGAAGAUGGCAGGUUUUAGACCUGAUAAGAUUACUUUUGUGAGUGUGAUCAGUGCCUGUUCAGAGUUAGCCACCAUUGGCCAAGGGAAGCAAAUUCAUACUGAAGCAAUUAAAGCAGGAGCUAGCUCUGUAGUUGCUGUAGUCUGUUCAUUAGUUAGUAUGUACUCCAAAUGUGGAUAUCUGGAAGACUCUGUCAAAGCUUUCUCAGAAUGUGAGGAACCGGAUAUUGUAUUAUGGAGCUCAAUGAUUGCUGCUUAUGGGUUUCAUGGGCAAGGACAAGAAGCUAUCAAGCUCUUUCAUCAAAUGGAGCAAGAAAAAUUACAGGCAAAUGAGGUUACAUUCUUGAGUUUGCUAUAUGCUUGCAGUCAUAGUGGACUCAAGGACAGGGGGCUUGAGUUCUUCAAUUUGAUGGUUGAUGUGUAUGGACUCAAGCCCUGGUUAGAACAUUAUACCUGCAUGGUUGACCUGCUUGGCAGAUCUGGUUGUUUAGAGGAUGCUGUGGCAAUGAUACGAGAAAUGCCUGUAAGAGCUGAUGCAGUUAUAUGGAAAACAUUGUUAUCUGCAUGCAAAACCCACAAGAAUACUGAAAUGGCAAGAAAAAUUGCUGAAGAAGUUCUUAUGAUAGAUCCUCAAGACUCAGCCUCUUAUGUUCUUCUCUCAAACAUUCAUGCUGCAGCUAAGAGGUGGCAGGAUGUUUCCGAGGUAAGAAAAGCCAUGAGAGACCAGAAGGUGAAGAAAGAACCUGGUACUAGUUGGGUGGAACUGAAGAAUCAAGUUCACCAGUUCAGUAUGGGUGGUAAAUCUCACCCAAUGUCAGUGGAGAUCGAUCUGUAUCUUGAAGAACUAACUUCAGAAAUGAAGUUCCAUGGCUAUGUGCCUGAUACUGCGUCUGUUUUGCAUGACAUGGAUAAUGAAGAGAAAGAGUAUAACUUGGCACACCAUAGUGAAAAAUUGGCAAUUGCUUUUGCUUUAAUGAACACACAAGGGGGAGUGCCUAUAAGGGUGAUGAAGAACCUGAGGGUUUGCAGUGAUUGUCAUGUUGCCUUCAAAUUCAUAUCCAAGAUAAAGAAUCGAGAAAUUAUAGUGCGUGACUCUAGCAGGUUUCAUCAUUUCAAAAAUGGCACAUGCUCUUGUGGAGAUUACUGAAAUAGCUGAAUGAAUUGGAUUCUGAGGGACUAAGUUUGAUGACAUUAUUGGGCAAGAGAGGGGUGCCAUCUGGACUUCUUGGAGUAAUGCUAUGGAUGUUCUUUAAAAUCAAGUGGAUCGUCUAGAUUCAGCCUAUGCUCAAGUUUUAUCCACAGGUGAUGAUUUCUUGCUGGUAAAGCUAAUGAACAGAUCGUGCCCCGUAAUUGAUCAACUUUCAAAUUAGGUGGAUCUUGCAUGCAAUUGGACAGUUCUUAUUAGAGCACAAUCCGUUUGAUGUCUGAAUGCCUUGGAUUCGACAGGGAUAAUAUCAUUUGACCCCCUUUCCUUGCUUCUUCAAUUCUUGAUUGAAAAACAGUACCUUGUUUCCUCAGAAAUGAUUUUGCCUUGUUUACUUUACUGUAUUCUUAUUUAAGCAGUCAUUUUAUCAGAAUUUCUAGAUUAGUAGACAUCAAUUUUGGGGAAAACAUAAUGUGGAGGGAUGAUGGCACAAUCUCUACUACCCAAAAUUAUGAU
Prosopis cineraria is the source of this 3133-nucleotide RNA transcript. It is a transcript of the gene named pentatricopeptide repeat-containing protein At2g41080, with no coding region annotated. The record is from RefSeq and is a predicted model, not a curated record. The transcript is spliced from 3 exons. NCBI's taxonomy places the organism in Eukaryota, Viridiplantae, Streptophyta, Magnoliopsida, Fabales, Fabaceae.